RNAcentral lists this ribosomal RNA (305 nucleotides) under uncultured bacterium. RNAcentral describes it as "bacterial SSU rRNA". It matches the Rfam family "Bacterial small subunit ribosomal RNA", at positions 337 to 640 of the family's 1533-position model. The record is from RNAcentral.
CCCUACGGGAGGCAGCAGUGAGGAAUAUUGGUCAAUGGGAGAGAUCCUGAACCAGCCAAGCCGCGUGAGGGAAGACGGCCCUAUGGGUUGUAAACCUCUUUUGUCGGAGAACAAAACCCGGGACGAGUCCCGGACUGCGUGUAUCCGAAGAAAAAGCAUCGGCUAACUCCGUGCCAGCAGCCGCGGUAAUACGGAGGAUGCGAGCGUUAUCCGGAUUUAUUGGGUUUAAAGGGUGCGUAGGCGGUCUGUUAAGUCAGCGGUAAAAUUGCGGGGCUCAACCCCGUCGUGCCGGUGAAACUGGCAGA